Molecule: ribosomal RNA, 769 nt
Filed under: Exophiala dermatitidis
Lineage: Eukaryota; Fungi; Ascomycota; Eurotiomycetes; Chaetothyriales; Herpotrichiellaceae
Description: eukaryotic LSU rRNA
Rfam family: Eukaryotic large subunit ribosomal RNA
Source: RNAcentral
UCCGAGUUGUAAUUUGUAGAGGAUGUUUCGGGCACCGCUCCGGUUUAAAUUUCUUGGAACAGAAUGUCAAAGAGGGUGAGAACCCCGUCUUGGACCGGCAGUAGGGCCCAUGUGAAACUCCUUCGACGAGUCGAGUUGUUUGGGAAUGCAGCUCAAAAUGGGUGGUAAAUUUCAUCUAAAGCUAAAUAUUGGCCAGAGACCGAUAGCGCACAAGUAGAGUGAUCGAAAGAUGAAAAGCACUUUGAAAAGAGAGUUAAACAGUACGUGAAAUUGUUGAAAGGGAAGCGCUUGCAACCAGACUUGCGCGCGGCGGUUCCCCCUUCCUUUUGGUUGGGUUAUUCCGCCGUGUCCAGGCCAACAUCGGUUCUGGGGGUCGGUUAAAGGCCUGGGGAAUGUAUCUACCCUUCGGGCGUAGACUUAUAGCCCCGGGUGUCAUGCGACCUCCCGGGACCGAGGAACGCGCUUCGGCUCGGAUGUUGGCGUAAUGGUUGUCAGCGACCCGUCUUGAAACACGGACCAAGGAGUCUAACAUCUAUGCGAGUGUUUGGGUGUCAAACCCGGAACGCGGAAUGAAAGUGAACGGAGGUAGGAAGCUUCGGCUGCACUAUCGACCGAUCCUGAUGUCUUCGGAUGGAUUUGAGUAAGAGCAUAGCUGUUGGGACCCGAAAGAUGGUGAACUAUGCCUGAAUAGGGUGAAGCCAGAGGAAACUCUGGUGGAGGCUCGCAGCGGUUCUGACGUGCAAAUCGAUCGUCAAAUUUGGGUAUAGGG